AGAUAGACAGUGAUAGACAAAUUAAACAGUAUAGAUAAACUGAACAGUGGAAAUAAUAAAUAGCUAGCUUUAAGUCAUUUACCUGCCCCCGUGUUUUUUUUUUUUAAACCUAUAUGUCUUUCCCUCUUCUGCGGAAUAAAAAGACUAUAUUUAGAAAAAUGUCUUUUGUCCGUACAGUGAAAUUUUGUCCAUACAGCAUGUUAUUUUGGACCGCAUUUACUUUCAUUGCAUAGACAACAAAAUUUCUUCCAAAUAUCUUCUCAUGUUCUACAAAAGAAACAAAGUCAUAGAGGAUUAAAAGGACAUAAGGAUGCUGUCAUGAAAUGUAAAGCUGGUCUUGGAGAGAAGGACGUAGAAUGUUUCAUUGGAGAGACACUUAAACAUGCGCCUGCACAACUGAAAAAAACGUGUUCAGGGCCGACUAAAUGAAGAUAUGGAGUUGCUUCAACUACACAAUUCCAUGUUUAAGCUUCCUUGUUGAUUUAUUUGAAUGUUUAUAAACCUGUUUGUGUAAUACCGUUGUGAACACUAUGUUUUUUUUUAUUCAUAGUAAAUUAACUGAAC
Myxocyprinus asiaticus (Chinese sucker) is the source of this 564-nucleotide long non-coding RNA. RefSeq lists it as uncharacterized. The record is from RefSeq and is a predicted model, not a curated record. The transcript has 3 exons. Lineage: Eukaryota; Metazoa; Chordata; Actinopteri; Cypriniformes; Catostomidae.